This 504-nucleotide ribosomal RNA is filed under the name uncultured bacterium. RNAcentral describes it as "partial 16S ribosomal RNA". It matches the Rfam family "Bacterial small subunit ribosomal RNA", at positions 30 to 523 of the family's 1533-position model. The record is from RNAcentral.
AUUGAACGCUGGCGGCAGGCCUAACACACGCAAGUCGAACGGUAGCACAGAGAGCUUGCUCUCGGGUGACGAGUGGCGGACGGGUGAGUAAUGUCUGGGAAACUGCCCGAUGGAGGGGGAUAACUACUGGAAACGGUAGCUAAUACCGCAUAACGUCGCAAGACCAAAGUAGGGGACCUUCGGGCCUCACACCAUCGGAUGUGCCCAGAUGGGAUUAGCUAGUAGGUGGGGUAAUGGCUCACCUAGGCGACGAUCCCUAGCUGGUCUGAGAGGAUGACCAGCCACACUGGAACUGAGACACGGUCCAGACUCCUACGGGAGGCAGCAGUGGGGAAUAUUGCACAAUGGGCGCAAGCCUGAUGCAGCCAUGCCGCGUGUAUGAAGAAGGCCUUCGGGUUGUAAAGUACUUUCAGCGGGGAGGAAGGCGGUGAAGUUAAUAGCUUCACCGAUUGACGUUACCCGCAGAAGAAGCACCGGCUAACUCCGUGCCAGCCGCCGCUGUAA